CAGCCGCCGCGGGAAUACAGAGGGUGCGAGCGUUAAUCGGAUUUACUGGGCGUAAAGCGUGCGUAGGCGGCUUCUUAAGUCGGAUGUGAAAUCCCUGAGCUUAACUUAGGAAUUGCAUUCGAUACUGGGAAGCUAGAGUAUGGGAGAGGAUGGUAGAAUUCCAGGUGUAGCGGUGAAAUGCGUAGAGAUCUGGAGGAAUACCGAUGGCGAAGGCAGCCAUCUGGCCUAAUACUGACGAUGAGGUACGAAAGCAUGGGGAGCAAACAGGAUUAGAUACCCCCGUAGUCCCUGUCUCUUAUAC
Molecule: ribosomal RNA, 301 nt
Filed under: uncultured bacterium
Lineage: Bacteria
Description: partial 16S ribosomal RNA
Rfam family: Bacterial small subunit ribosomal RNA
Source: RNAcentral